CGCGGCCUAUCAGCUUGUUGGUGGGGUAGUGGCCUACCAAGGCGACGACGGGUAGCCGGCCUGAGAGGGUGACCGGCUACACUGGGACUGAGACACGGCCCAGACUCCUACGGGAGGCAGCAGUGGGGAAUAUUGCGCAAUGGGCGGAAGCCUGACGCAGCGACGCCGCGUGAGGGAUGAAGGCCUUCGGGUUGUAAACCUCUUUCAGCAGGGACGAAGCGAAAGUGACGGUACCUGCAGAAGAAGCACCGGCCAACUACGUGCCAGCAGCCGCGGUAAUACGUAGGGUGCAAGCGUUGUCCGGAAUUAUUGGGCGUAAAGAGCUCGUAGGCGGUUUGUCACGUCGGUUGCGAAAAUCCGAGGCUCAACCUCGGACCUGCAAUCGAUACGGGCAGGCUAGAGUUUGGUAGGGGAGACUGGAAUUCCUGGUGUAGCGGUGAAAUGCGCAGAUAUCAGGAGGAACACCGGUGGCGAAGGCGGGUCUCUGGGCCAAUACUGACGCUGAGGAGCGAAAGCGUGGGGAGCGAACAGGAUUAGAUACCCUGGUAGUCCACGCCGUAAACGGUGGGCGCUAGGUGUGGGGAGUUUUCCACUCUCUCCGUGCCGCAGCUAACGCAUUAAGCGCCCCGCCUGGGGA
Molecule: ribosomal RNA, 637 nt
Filed under: uncultured bacterium
Lineage: Bacteria
Description: bacterial SSU rRNA
Rfam family: Bacterial small subunit ribosomal RNA
Source: RNAcentral